Molecule: long non-coding RNA, 1025 nt
Filed under: Medicago truncatula (barrel medic)
Lineage: Eukaryota; Viridiplantae; Streptophyta; Magnoliopsida; Fabales; Fabaceae
Description: long non-coding RNA (MTRU_LNC004962)
Source: RNAcentral
UGAUUGGCUUCUUGUCUCUCCCAAUCUUUAUGUACUCCUCAAACCGUUCUUUUAGGUCCUCAGGUAGGUUUGUGGUUGAACUCCAUCCCAAUUUAGUUUUGGCUGCUCUAGGUUCAGCAUAGAAGUGCUGCAUCAUACAUAGUUCAUAAACAUUGUUAAGCAGUAGUAAUAAUUAUGAGAAUUGUAUAUUUUCAAAUUUGACAAAUGCCCAUGAUGCAGAGUUCCUUCAGUUGAGAGGUAACCGAUGAAUUUGUAAAAAAUAUUUUUGACAUGAAUACACUACUUAGUAUGUGUAAUUUGCUUUGUAAAACAGAUUACAAAGCUGAUCAGCAAGGCAGUAUUUUCAAUUUACUAUGCUGUUCUGUUACGGUUCAAAACUUGUGGUUAACCAAGACAAUCGAUACUCUUUAUUGGCAUAUUUGUGCAUCAUGCAAUAAAAUCGUAUUGUAGAUUAGAACAUAGGAUAUUAGUAACUACCACAUUACGGAAAGGGAAGGCUUUCUUUGCAUCAAUUCCAAUAGCUUUUGGAUCAUAAUGCACAAUAUUAACAGGGCGUCCUGCAGCUUGAGCGCAUAGUUUAGCUAUUCCAUUUAGAGUCACCGCACGGUCACUCACACAGUUGAAAAUGCUAUGAUUUGCAGCAUCCGGGUUCUCAACAGCUAGAGUCAACAUUGAAGACAAGUCUUUAACAUGAGAUAUGUUAGUGAGUUGCAAUCCUGAACCAGGAAUUAGCACAGGUCUGUCCCGAACAAUCCCUACAAAUGGCAAUAUACAUUUCUUUUAGAAGUUCUAAAUUAGCAUAAAAAUUUCAGAGUAAAAAAAAGCUUCAUAUGGAUUAGAGGUUUAAAAUAAAGCUUGCUUUAAGAAUUUUCCCACUUACUGUCAAAGAACCACUCCUCACAGUCUUUGUUGUUUCCAGACCCUGUCAUAUACUGAGGCCUGAAUACUGCCCAACUGUCAAAAGUUUCUUCAAUGUAUUUCUCAACUCCAACAUGACCAGCAUCUGCUUUGACAGCAUCCUGCUC